RNAcentral lists this ribosomal RNA (253 nucleotides) under uncultured bacterium. RNAcentral's name for it is "partial 16S ribosomal RNA". It matches the Rfam family "Bacterial small subunit ribosomal RNA", at positions 524 to 776 of the family's 1533-position model. The record is from RNAcentral.
UACGAAGGGGGCUAGCGUUGUUCGGAAUUACUGGGCGUAAAGCGCGCGCAGGCGGCUAUCCAAGUCAGUGGUGAAAGCCCGGAGCUCAACUCCGGAACUGCCAUUGAAACUGUUUAGCUUGAGGAUGAGAGAGGUGAGUGGAAUUCCCAGUGUAGAGGUGAAAUUCGUAGAUAUUGGGAAGAACACCGGUGGCGAAGGCGGCGAGCUGGCCUGUACCUGACGCUGAGGCGCGACAGCGUGGGGAGCAAACAGG